CCGUCACCAUUCAUACCCCUGUCCCGGGCCCGCUCACCGACUAAGGACGUAGUAUACUCGAGAUAUACCCGUCCUGGUAGUUGGAUACAGAAGUCGAGGGAUUCACCCAACGACGCAACUACAUUUUAGAUUUAUGGUAGUUGGAUACAGAAGUCGAGGGAUUCACCCAACGACGCAACUACAUUUUAGAUUUAUGGUAGUUGGAUACAGAAGUCGAGGGAUUCACCCAACGACGCAACUACAUUUAGAUUUAUGGUUUCAGGAGAAAAAUGUUUUUGCACAAGUCACCACUCGAACGGCUAGUGCGAUAAAGUACACACAGCUCACUUCGAUG
RNAcentral lists this long non-coding RNA (334 nucleotides) under Coffea arabica (coffee). RNAcentral's name for it is "long non-coding RNA (CARA_LNC006307)". Lineage: Eukaryota; Viridiplantae; Streptophyta; Magnoliopsida; Gentianales; Rubiaceae. The record is from RNAcentral.